Molecule: non-coding RNA, 358 nt
Organism: Caenorhabditis elegans
Lineage: Eukaryota; Metazoa; Nematoda; Chromadorea; Rhabditida; Rhabditidae
Source: Ensembl
AAUGCUCGCGCCGACUUCAAAAGUUUCUCUUUGAAGAAAGCACCGAAUUUUGCAAGGAAAAGCAGUAUUUUUUUGCUCUGCAGCCGGACGAGGGGGGGGGGGAUAAAAACAAGUUCGAUCUGUCUGAACUCUCUCUCGUUCCCGCGCUUUCUCUCGCGUUUUGAAUAGAAUGCAUGAGAUAGUGUGACGAAUACUUGGAGACGCAGAGACAAUGAGAGCAUCUGUCCAGACGGAGGUCGUGGCGUGAUUGAAUGAGCUCGUCGCUCGAGGGCACGAAGACAAGUUGGCACAGAUAACGGGCGGGGCUUACCGACGAUCCCGGAGGUUCACGUGAAACAGAGAAGAAGUCGCAGCAGAG